AUUGAACGCUGGCGGCAGGCCUAACACAUGCCAGUCGAACGGUAACAGGAAGCAGCUUGCUGCUUCGCUGACGAGUGGCGGACGGGUGAGUAAUGUCUGGGAAGCUGCCUGAUGGAGGGGGAUAACUACUGGAAACGGUAGCUAAUACCGCAUAAUGUCGCAAGACCAAAGAGGGGGGCCUUCGGGCCUCUUGCCAUCGGAUGUGCCCAGAUGGGAUUAGCUUGUUGGUGGGGUAACGGCUCACCAAGGCGACGAUCCCUAGCUGGUCUGAGAGGAUGACCAGCCACACUGGAACUGAGACACGGUCCAGACUCCUACGGGAGGCAGCAGUGGGGAAUAUUGCACAAUGGGCGCAAGCCUGAUGCAGCCAUGCCGCGUGUAUGAAGAAGGCCUUCGGGUUGUAAAGUACUUUCAGCGGGGAGGAAGGGAGUAAAGUUAAUACCUUUGCUCAUUGACGUUACCCGCAGAAGAAGCACCGGCUAACUCCGUG
Molecule: ribosomal RNA, 490 nt
Filed under: uncultured bacterium
Lineage: Bacteria
Description: partial 16S ribosomal RNA
Rfam family: Bacterial small subunit ribosomal RNA
Source: RNAcentral